Molecule: ribosomal RNA, 467 nt
Filed under: uncultured bacterium
Lineage: Bacteria
Description: partial 16S ribosomal RNA
Rfam family: Bacterial small subunit ribosomal RNA
Source: RNAcentral
GGCGAACGCUGGCGGUGUGCUUAACACAUGCAAGUCGAACGGUAAGGCCCUUUCGGGGGUACACGAGUGGCGAACGGGUGAGUAACACGUGAGUAACCUGCCCUCAUCUCUGGGAUAACAGUCGGAAACGGUUGCUAAUACUGGAUAUGAGCUUGCAAGGCAUCUUGUGGGUUGGAAAGAUUUUUUUUGGUUGGGGAUGGACUCGCGGCCUAUCAGCUUGUUGGUGAGGUAGUGGCUCACCAAGGCUUCGACGGGUAGCCGGCCUGAGAGGGCGACCGGCCACAUUGGGACUGAGAUACGGCCCAAACUCCUACGGGAGGCAGCAGUGGGGAAUAUUGCACAAUGGACGGAAGUCUGAUGCAGCAACGCCGCGUGCGGGAUGACGGCCUUCGGGUUGUAAACCGCUUUCAAUUGUGACGAAGCUUUUUUGUGACGGUAGCAGUAGAAGAAGCACCGGCUAACUACGU